RNAcentral lists this ribosomal RNA (492 nucleotides) under uncultured bacterium. RNAcentral describes it as "partial 16S ribosomal RNA". It matches the Rfam family "Bacterial small subunit ribosomal RNA", at positions 29 to 507 of the family's 1533-position model. The record is from RNAcentral.
AGUGAACGCUGGCGGUAGGCCUAACACAUGCAAGUCGAACGGCAGCACAGUAAGAGCUUGCUCUUACGGGAGGCGAGUGGCGGACGGGUGAGGAAUAUAUCGGAAUCUACUUUUUCGUGGGGGAUAACGUAGGGAAACUUACGCUAAUACCGCAUACGAGCUACGGGUGAAAGCAGGGGAUCUUCGGACCUUGCGCGAGUGAAUGAGCCGAUGUCGGAUUAGCUAGUUGGCGGGGUAAAGGCCCACCAAGGCGACGAUCCGUAGCUGGUCUGAGAGGAUGAUCAGCCACACUGGAACUGAGACACGGUCCAGACUCCUACGGGAGGCAGCAGUGGGGAAUAUUGGACAAUGGGCGCAAGCCUGAUCCAGCCAUACCGCGUGUGUGAAGAAGGCCUUCGGGUUGUAAAGCCCUUUUGUUGGGAAAGAAAAGCAGCAGGUUAAUACCCCGCUGUUCUGACGUUACCCAAAGAAUAAGCACCGGCUAACUUCGUG